CAGAGUUCUCGCCCUCGCGGGUAGAUCUCCCACCCCCUGUUAUCGUUACUGUGUUGCUUUGGCGGGCUGCCAGGCCUGGCCUGGCCGCCGGCUCCGGCUGGCGCGCGCCCGCCAGAGGCCCGAUAAAUCCUGACUGUCGGUGUCGUCUGAGUACUAUUACAAUAGUUA
RNAcentral lists this unclassified non-coding RNA (168 nucleotides) under uncultured Oidiodendron. Its description in RNAcentral is "sequence contains ITS1". Lineage: Eukaryota; Fungi; Ascomycota; Leotiomycetes; Myxotrichaceae. The record is from RNAcentral.